AAUUAAGUCAAAAUAAGUCUUGUCAAUGUAAGAAAUAAGCGUGGAAAAAACUAAUUUUUAUAAAUAAUUAAUAAAUUGAUACAUAUUUAAGCUAAUUAAAAUGAAAAGACUCCAAGGAAACUUUGGUACUCGAGAUCCUGAGGAAGAUAGAAAGAGAACUCGUGAAAUGGUGCUUUCUAACCUCUUAUUGUUCGGAGUUUUUAUUGGAGUUAUUCGAACAGCUCCAUUCAUCAUCAAACAAUUUUCAUAGUGAUUUUAAAUGAGGUACUAAGUAAUAUUGAAGGAUUGUUAAUGAUUUGUGUUGAUUUUUUUUUAUUGUUGCAUUGAAUGAAGACAAAGAACUGAAAACUUUGAUACAAUUUAAUUACUUUGUAAUUUUCUAUGUACAUGUAAUAAAUUUUAUUAUGUAAAUUACAUGAAAUUGAAAAACAGGA
Long non-coding RNA from Onthophagus taurus, 434 nucleotides. RefSeq lists it as uncharacterized. NCBI's taxonomy places the organism in Eukaryota, Metazoa, Arthropoda, Insecta, Coleoptera, Scarabaeidae. The record is from RefSeq and is a predicted model, not a curated record.